RNAcentral lists this ribosomal RNA (256 nucleotides) under uncultured archaeon. Its description in RNAcentral is "partial 16S ribosomal RNA". It matches the Rfam family "Bacterial small subunit ribosomal RNA", at positions 521 to 776 of the family's 1533-position model. The record is from RNAcentral.
UAAUACGUAGGGUGCAAGCAUUGUCCGGAUUUAUUGGGCGUAAAGAGCUCGUAGGCGGCCUGACGCGUCGGAUGUGAAAACACGCAACUUAACUGCGUGCCUGCAUUCGAUACGGUCAAGCUAGAGGAUGGCAGGGGAAACUGGAAUUCCUGGUGUAGCGGUGGAAUGCGCAGAUAUCAGGAGGAACACCGGUGGCGAAGGCGGGUUUCUGGGCCAUUACUGACGCUGAGGAGCGAAAGCGUGGGGAGCGAACAGG